GAUAAACGCUAGCGGCAGGCCUAACACAUGCAAGUCGAGGGGCAGCGGGUGGAGUAUUUCGGUACUCCUGCCGGCGACCGGCGCACGGGUGCGUAACGCGUAUGCAACCUACCUUUAACAGGGGGAUAAUCCGAAGAAAUUUGGUCUAAUACCCCAUAAUAUCAUUUAAGGCAUCUUAGAUGGUUGAAAAUUCCGAUGGUUAGAGAUGGGCAUGCGUUGUAUUAGCUAGUUGGUGAGGUAACGGCUCACCAAGGCUACGAUACAUAGGGGGACUGAGAGGUUUUCCCCCCACACUGGUACUGAGACACGGACCAG
This 315-nucleotide ribosomal RNA is filed under the name uncultured bacterium. RNAcentral's name for it is "bacterial SSU rRNA". It matches the Rfam family "Bacterial small subunit ribosomal RNA", at positions 28 to 334 of the family's 1533-position model. The record is from RNAcentral.